Long non-coding RNA from Camelus dromedarius (Arabian camel), 1389 nucleotides. RefSeq lists it as uncharacterized. The record is from RefSeq and is a predicted model, not a curated record. The transcript is spliced from 3 exons. Lineage: Eukaryota; Metazoa; Chordata; Mammalia; Artiodactyla; Camelidae.
CUCUUCACCAUGCUAGGACUCAGUCAGAACCUUGUCAUCUGUAAAGCUGUAAGAGGACCCUUACCAAGAAAAUAACAAUGCUGGCACAGUGCUUUUGGACUUACAGCCUCCAGGACUGGGAGAAAUAAAUGUUUGUUUUAGGGAAGAAAGAUAGAGGGCUGUCACCAGAAGCAAGGAACAGAGGAAGUAAAUUUCCAAAGGAUCUGGUAGAAGAAUUGGUCUAACUGUGUUCCUCAUGAGAAAAGUAUUCUGUUGGAGGACAUGUAAUAAAACAGCAGUCACAAGAUUUGAUUUAUUCACAGCUCUGAAAACUCUGGAAGACCAUGGGGAAGUUCCCUAACCUCCUUUGGGUAUUUCAUCUGAGCUGUUGGAUUUGCAUUACCUAAUCUCUCUGGUUCCUUGAAGCUGCCACAUUCAGUGAUUCUGUCUUCAAUGAUAGAUACAACAAGGAGCAACCUAAGCUGAAAGUGGCCUGAGAUGUGGAUCUGAAAAGAGAAAUUUUGGUUCCCAGCCAUAGGAGUGUGUUCACAGAAAAAGAAGCCAGCUAAAGAAUGUCUUGGGUGUUCUGGACAGGCUUGGAAUCCACAGAAGUAUUUAUUUCAAGAGGAUAUCUAUACUGAUUUUUCAUUGAAGGUCAAAGGGAGUUCCAGAUAAACUGCCUGAGUUCUGGCAGUCAAAAAAGAAGGAAAUGUAGUCCUUUGAAACUCUGUCCCUCAUGAGAACAUGGACUACUUUAUCCUUGAGUGAGAGAUGAGCCAUGGGACCGGUAACAACACUUCUAGGCUUCAUUCUUCAAGGGGAGGCAACAUAAAGUAAAUACUAAGACAGAUUACCACAAGGUUCCUCUGGAAAUCCUGCUUGUCUUCCUUGAAGGAGUGCUCCAUGAAGACUGCAGGGGCUUCCCUCUCACAGGCAGCAUGUGCCUCCAGCAGCUCCUGCAGCAUGUCUGUGGGGAAGCUCACUCGCUGGGCUAUCUGCUCGCUGUAGUGGUUGUCUGCCUUCUGAAUGGCAGCUGAGUUCUCCAGCUAUGCCAGAGUUGUCACCGCGUUCUCCAAGCGAGGUACUGCUCCACUAUUGAUAGUAUCCAGGAGGAAGGAACAUUAAUUGUGAUAAAGAUACCAAGCAAGGGCUCAACAUAGAGGCAAAGGGGAAUCCAUGAAUCAGACAAAAUGGAAGUCACUGAUAACCAUAACAAGAGUAUCUUGAAAGAACGGUGAGGUUCAAAGCCAGAGAGAAAUGGACUGAAGACAGACAUGGGAAGAGAAAAAGGUGGGAAAAAAAUCAAGAUUAUAUUUUUUGUCAGACAAAUUUUUCAAAAGUGGGGAGAGGUGUUAGCCACAGUAGUAUAUGACAUACAGGAAAUAUUUUUAAGAUUAUAGACAUUUGAAC